Long non-coding RNA from Bufo bufo (common toad), 568 nucleotides. RefSeq lists it as uncharacterized. The transcript has 3 exons. NCBI's taxonomy places the organism in Eukaryota, Metazoa, Chordata, Amphibia, Anura, Bufonidae. The record is from RefSeq and is a predicted model, not a curated record.
CUCUUACUAGGUGGGCAGCACAGCCUGGUUGCCCUCCUGCAGUGAGAGGAGCCGAGCCUGAGGCUGCCGCCGUGACUGACAGGAGCCGCCGCGCAGGCGCAGUCUGCCUCCGCCUUCAGCUCCGCCCCCUCCGCCGCCUAUAAAGCCUCCGCCUCACCUGGCUGCAGUUCUCCGGCUGUGACUCCUGUGCCUGAGGAUUUCACCGCAAGACAACAUGCCUGAAUACACCAUCAUUUAUUUUAAUGCCAGAGGUCGUUGUGAAGCUAUGCGAAUGCUCAUGGCUGACCAGGGAGCUCAAUGGAAGGAGGAAGUCGUAACGUCUGAUGACUGGCAGAAGGGGGAUCUGAAGAAAGCUGCGGUAAGAUGAAACCCCUCAUGGGCAAAGUAUAAUGGUAAAAUGUAGAUCAGGUGAUGGCGUGGGAUCGGGGUCUGUGCCCGCUCCAUCACUUGUGGAUGCCAGCUCUGGUAUACUGCUGCAUUCAGUGUUUCCUCUCACCCUAAUAGACUGCCUGUCAGAUUUACAGUAACAGAAUGAGUGAUUAGAGGAGCGCAGGUUCAGAUCCCCUAU